GAAAAAUUGUGGAAUAUUUUUUUAAAUGACAUGUAUUCACUAUCUUGACCGAAAUAAAUAAAUAAUUAAAAAAAAAAAAUAAAAAAAAAAAAAUAAGAAAAUAUGAUAUAAGUAUGUAUUACUGUAUCCAGGCAAUGUGACGAGCACCUGUGGUCUUGAUGGAAUAUGCUGUGCUCCUCUUUGACGUAUGUUUCAUAAUGGUAUGGAAAAGGGAAUUAAAAUCUAAUGCUUGUUUUAUGAAUAAUAAUAUAGGUAUAAUCAACAUAUGAACACAUUGUCAUAAGGACUAUUACAGUAAUUAAACUGCAAAACCAUAGUAUGUAUCUGCAGGUAAUGCACAGGAUGUGUGCAGAUGCUAAUUGAUAUUCUAUGUUCUCAUUUUUUUUGAGUUUCUUUUUAUGCUUGUUAAAUAUCUUUUGACUAUUUCAGGCUGGUGAGAGAAAACUAUCAGGAAUGAUUCAAGCUAAGUAAUGUAAAAGCCACUGAGUAAUUCAAGGUCUCAGACAUCUAGAAUAUGCUCAUAGUCACUCAGUCUUCAAGAUCUCAUCCCAAGCAUUCCACUGUGAAUAAGCAGACUUUGACAAAACAGUACUUACCAUUUCCACUGGAGAUAGCAGACCAAGCAGACUUUAUGCUACAUAUAUAUGGACACAGACACUGCAUUGCAUAUUCCAACACACCAUAAGACUUCCAACUGUUUCAUAGGCAGUGAGGCAUUUGUGUUAACCUCAUGAGUUGAAAUGAAAUUUCUUUUUGUUUUCUUUUUUAAGUUUGACUUUGCAUUGAAAAAGCCUUUAACUUAACAUUUGAUUUUCCAAAUAUAUAUAUAUAUGUAUACAGUGUCAACUGUGAUAUCCAUUUGUACAUAUCUUCCUCCAAGCAUUUAAACAAUUGUGAUUGAUAAAGAAAAAAUUGAAUGAAACAUUUAUCUUUUAUCUUAUGAUAAUAAAUAAAACACGUUCUACCAUA
This is a long non-coding RNA of Mya arenaria, 969 nucleotides long. RefSeq lists it as uncharacterized. The record is from RefSeq and is a predicted model, not a curated record. The transcript is spliced from 2 exons. NCBI's taxonomy places the organism in Eukaryota, Metazoa, Mollusca, Bivalvia, Myida, Myidae.